RNAcentral lists this ribosomal RNA (1265 nucleotides) under Bacillus amyloliquefaciens. RNAcentral's name for it is "bacterial SSU rRNA". It matches the Rfam family "Bacterial small subunit ribosomal RNA", at positions 53 to 1266 of the family's 1533-position model. Lineage: Bacteria; Bacillati; Bacillota; Bacilli; Caryophanales; Bacillaceae. The record is from RNAcentral.
ACAUGCAAGUCGAGCGGACAGAUGGGAGCUUGCUCCCUGAUGUUAGCGGCGGACGGGUGAGUAACACGUGGGUAACCUGCCUGUAAGACUGGGAUAACUCCGGGAAACCGGGGCUAAUACCGGAUGGUUGUCUGAACCGCAUGGUUCAGACAUAAAAGGUGGCUUCGGCUACCACUUACAGAUGGACCCGCGGCGCAUUAGCUAGUUGGUGAGGUAACGGCUCACCAAGGCGACGAUGCGUAGCCGACCUGAGAGGGUGAUCGGCCACACUGGGACUGAGACACGGCCCAGACUCCUACGGGAGGCAGCAGUAGGGAAUCUUCCGCAAUGGACGAAAGUCUGACGGAGCAACGCCGCGUGAGUGAUGAAGGUUUUCGGAUCGUAAAGCUCUGUUGUUAGGGAAGAACAAGUGCCGUUCAAAUAGGGCGGCACCUUGACGGUACCUAACCAGAAAGCCACGGCUAACUACGUGCCAGCAGCCGCGGUAAUACGUAGGUGGCAAGCGUUGUCCGGAAUUAUUGGGCGUAAAGGGCUCGCAGGCGGUUUCUUAAGUCUGAUGUGAAAGCCCCCGGCUCAACCGGGGAGGGUCAUUGGAAACUGGGGAACUUGAGUGCAGAAGAGGAGAGUGGAAUUCCACGUGUAGCGGUGAAAUGCGUAGAGAUGUGGAGGAACACCAGUGGCGAAGGCGACUCUCUGGUCUGUAACUGACGCUGAGGAGCGAAAGCGUGGGGAGCGAACAGGAUUAGAUACCCUGGUAGUCCACGCCGUAAACGAUGAGUGCUAAUUGUUUAGGGGGGUUUCCGCCCCUUAGUGCUGCAGCUAACGCAUUAAGCACUCCGCCUGGGGGAGUACGGUCGCAAGACUGAAACUCAAAGGAAUUGACGGGCGCCCGCACAAGCGGUGGAAGCAUGUGGUUUAAUUCGAAGCAACGCGAAGAACCUUACCAGGUCUUGACAUCCUCUGACAAUCCUAGAAGAUAGGACGUCCCCUUCGGGGGCAGAGUGACAGGUGGGUGCAAGGGUUGUCCGUCGCCUCGUGUCGUGAAGAUUUUUGGGGUUAAGUUCCCGCAACGAAGCGCAACCCUUUGAUCUUAGUUGCCCAGCAUUCAGUUGGGCACUCUUAAGGUGAACUGCCCGGUGACAAACCCGAAGAAAAGGUGGGGGGAUAAACCUCCAAAUCAUCCAUGCCCCCUUAUAAACCUGGGGCUAACACCCGUGCUUACAAUGGAACAGAAAAAAAAGGGCAACGAAAACCCCCCGGGGUUA